CCAGACUCCUACGGGAGGCAGCAGUGGGGGAUAUUGGACAAUGGGGGAAACCCUGAUCCAGCGACGCCGCGUGAGUGAAGAAGUAUUUCGGUAUGUAAAGCUCUAUCAGCAGGGAAGAAGAUGACGGUACCUGACUAAGAAGCCCCGGCUAACUACGUGCCAGCAGCCGCGGUAAUACGUAGGGGGCAAGCGUUAUCCGGAUUUACUGGGUGUAAAGGGAGCGUAGACGGCGGCGCAAGCCAGAUGUGAAAGCCCGGGGCUCAACUCCGGGACUGCUUUGGAAACUGUAUGGCUGGAGUGCAGGAGAGGUAAGUGGAAUUCCUAGUGUAGCGGUGAAAUGCGUAGAUAUUAGGAGGAACACCAGUGGCGAAGGCGGCUUACUGGACUGUAACUGACGUUGAGGCUCGAAAGCGUGGGGAGCAAACAGGAUUAGAUACCCCUGUACG
This 446-nucleotide ribosomal RNA is filed under the name uncultured bacterium. RNAcentral describes it as "bacterial SSU rRNA". It matches the Rfam family "Bacterial small subunit ribosomal RNA", at positions 331 to 793 of the family's 1533-position model. The record is from RNAcentral.